GACGAACGCUGGCGGCGUGCUUAACACAUGCAAGUCGAACGGAAAGGCCCUGCCUUUGUGGGGUGCUUGAGUGGCGAACGGGUGAGUAACACGUGAGUAACCUGCCCUUGACUUUGGGAUAACUUCAGGAAACCGGGGCUAAUACCGGAUAGGAGCUCCUGCUGCAUGGUGGGGGUUGGAAAGUUUCGGCGGUUGGGGAUGGACUCGCGGCUUAUCAGCUUGUUGGUGGGGUAGUGGCUUACCAAGGCUUUGACGGGUAGCCGGCCUGAGAGGGUGACCGGCCACAUUGGGACUGAGAUACGGCCCAGACUCCUACGGGAGGCAGCAGUGGGGAAUAUUGCACAAUGGGCGGAAGCCUGAUGCAGCAACGCCGCGUGCGGGAUGACGGCCUUCGGGUUGUAAACCGCUUUCGCCUGUGACGAAGCGUGAGUGACGGUAAUGGGUAAAGAAGCACCGGCUAACUACGUG
Molecule: ribosomal RNA, 468 nt
Filed under: uncultured bacterium
Lineage: Bacteria
Description: partial 16S ribosomal RNA
Rfam family: Bacterial small subunit ribosomal RNA
Source: RNAcentral